This 274-nucleotide ribosomal RNA is filed under the name uncultured bacterium. Its description in RNAcentral is "partial 16S ribosomal RNA". It matches the Rfam family "Bacterial small subunit ribosomal RNA", at positions 523 to 796 of the family's 1533-position model. The record is from RNAcentral.
AUCCGGAGGGUGCGAGCGUUAAUCGGAAUUACUGGGCGUAAAGCGUACGUAGGCGGUUGGUUAAGUUAGAUGUGAAAGCCCCGGGCUUAACCUGGGAACUGCAUUUAAAACUGGCGAACUAGAGUUGAGUAGAGGGGAGUGGAAUUUCAGGUGUAGCGGUGAAAUGCGUAGAGAUCUGAAGGAACACCAGUGGCGAAGGCGACUCCCUGGACUCGAACUGACGCUGAGGUACGAAAGCGUGGGUAGCAAACGGGAUUAGAAACCCCAGUAGUCC